AAGUCGUAACAAGGUAACCGUAGGUGAACCUGCGGUUGGAUCAUUACUAAAUGAUUUUCACUAGGCUUUGAACUCUUUUCAGAGAUCGAGUCUAGUGUCUUUACACCCGGUGAACUAAAUCGUUUUUCGAGUGUGCAGUAAUGCAUGCUCGGCCGUAACAAACCCCUUUUAACCUAGUCUGAAUUUUUUAUUAUAUAAAAGAUAAACAACUUUUGACAACGGAUCUCUUGGCUCUC
This 236-nucleotide unclassified non-coding RNA is filed under the name Coralloidiomyces digitatus. Its description in RNAcentral is "partial internal transcribed spacer region". The stretch from base 1 to 46 matches the Rfam family "Eukaryotic small subunit ribosomal RNA", at positions 1786 to 1831 of the family's 1831-position model. The record is from RNAcentral. Lineage: Eukaryota; Fungi; Chytridiomycota; Chytridiomycetes; Rhizophydiales.